CUUGAACCCAGGUCUGACGCCUCCCAGGUGAGUUUCCUAACCACUGGGCUGUUGUCUAAUCUGGGGUGGAGGUGUCUCAAUCUCUCCUGUUAAAACUGUUUCACUUUGAAUAAAUAACUAAAUAUUUGUUGAAGUGCGACAUGAGCCCAUGUUUGCCACUCUCAGGGGAGUUCCCUAAUUACCAGGAUAUACAGUCAUUCUCACUCUCUGGGCACGUCUACACAGAGGGGAAAGAAAACAAACUGCAGCGGAUAGUCUCAGAGCUGGGUCAAUUGACUUGGGCUUGCGCCAUGUGGCUAAAAAUACCUGUGUAGAUAUUUGGGCUGGACUGUGGGCUCUAAAAUCUGGCUAAGGGGGAGGGUCUUGGACCCAGGCAUGAGCUCGACCUCUACACUGCUAUUUUUAGCCCCACAACGUGAGCCCUGUGAGCCCAAAUCAGUUGACCCAGGCUCUCAUGCUCAGUGCACAGGUCUCUUUUUUUUUUUUCUUUUUUUGCUGUGCAGAUAUAUUCUCUGUGUCUCACCCAGUGACUAUUCAAGUAUUUUAUUUAGGUGUCCCUCACCAGUGGACUAUUAAUAGAAGACAACCACCACAAUCUGCUGCUAUUCCUGUUUUGUGAAUAGUCCUAAGCCUUUCUGUGAAUGUAGCCCAAAACAUUAUUUUGGCUGCAACUAUUUGGCAAAUUCAUGAAUAGUUUUGUUUGACCUGAAACUGUGGCAAAUAAAAUAUUCCUCCACAAAAAAAUUCCCUCUCAAUUUCUCAUCAUUUGCAGCAGCGGGCCAAAAUGAAGUUCAAUCCUUUUGUGACCUUGGACUGCAGCAAGAACCACAAGAGGCACUUCAAUGCACCCUCUCACAUUCGCAGGAAGAUCAUGUCUGCCCCCCUUUUCAAAGAGCUAAGGCAGAAAUAAAAUGUCCGCUCUAUGCCCAUCCGAAAAGAUGACGAAGUCCAGGUUGUCCGGGGACAUUAUAAAGGCCAGCAAAUCGGCAAGAUGACGAAGUACAG
Chelonia mydas (Green sea turtle) is the source of this 1005-nucleotide long non-coding RNA. RefSeq lists it as uncharacterized. The record is from RefSeq and is a predicted model, not a curated record. The transcript has 3 exons. NCBI's taxonomy places the organism in Eukaryota, Metazoa, Chordata, Testudines, Cheloniidae.